CUUCCAUGUCCAUUCAUACCCUGGGUGUAGACAUGUCCUAACAUUCACAGGUGAAGAGACUUCCACUUUGUAUUGCCUACAGAUUUUAAAAAAUCCUCUUUCAUUGUUUCCACACCAAAGGCUAAAAUACAGUAAAUUCAGUGCUACCUUUCUUCCUUCCUGUGCCAUCCCUUUCUGAGAAGAGAUGGCAACACCGGCAACUGCCUGCUGGACUAUAAAGAACACUGGUGUAGCUUCACAAUCAAGAUCUAACAAGACAAGCUGUGAAAGGAAUGAUUACUUGAAAAUAAUAUAGCCCUAUAACAGCCCAACUCCAGAAACUGGUGCUUUGGUAGUAUUGUUAAAUGCUGUCAGUAUUGCAGUAAGACCAUGAAAUUCUACAACACCACAGAACAAAUGUGACUGUAUUUCUACUUGACAGGAAAUAAUUGAAAUAAAGAAAUAUUAUUUCACA
Molecule: long non-coding RNA, 454 nt
Filed under: Anser brachyrhynchus (Pink-footed goose)
Lineage: Eukaryota; Metazoa; Chordata; Aves; Anseriformes; Anatidae
Description: lncRNA (ENSABRG00000011680.1)
Source: RNAcentral